Molecule: ribosomal RNA, 497 nt
Filed under: uncultured bacterium
Lineage: Bacteria
Description: partial 16S ribosomal RNA
Rfam family: Bacterial small subunit ribosomal RNA
Source: RNAcentral
GAUGAACGCUGGCGGCGUGCCUAAUACAUGCAAGUCGAGCGAACAGAUGAGGAGCUUGCUCCUCUGACGUUAGCGGCGGACGGGUGAGUAACACGUGGAUAACCUACCUAUAAGACUGGGAUAACUUCGGGAAACCGGAGCUAAUACCGGAUAAUAUAUUGAACCGCAUGGUUCAAUAGUGAAAGACGGUUUUGCUGUCACUUAUAGAUGGAUCCGCGCCGCAUUAGCUAGUUGGUAAGGUAACGGCUUACCAAGGCAACGAUGCGUAGCCGACCUGAGAGGGUGAUCGGCCACACUGGAACUGAGACACGGUCCAGACUCCUACGGGAGGCAGCAGUAGGGAAUCGUCCGCAAUGGGCGAAAGCUUGACGGAGCAAAGCCGCGUGAGUGAUGAAGGGCUUCGGAUCGUAAAACUCUGUUAUUAGGGAAGAACAAAUGUGUAAGUAACUAUGCACGUCUUGAAGGUACCUAAUCAGAAAGCCACGGCUAAAUACGUG